This is a long non-coding RNA of Mustela erminea (ermine), 298 nucleotides long. RefSeq lists it as uncharacterized. The record is from RefSeq and is a predicted model, not a curated record. The transcript is spliced from 3 exons. Lineage: Eukaryota; Metazoa; Chordata; Mammalia; Carnivora; Mustelidae.
UGAGGUGUGUCAAGCCGUGAGGAGUCAGGGAAUGACCAAAUAAUAAUGAGUUAGCAAAGACAUCAGACUUUUAUCUCCUAGACCCUCUAAAACAUUCCUAGGAGAUCCCCAAGUUUAAGUCCAUGUGAAUUUACAUAUUAGUAAUUAUUUGUCUGACGGUGGCAAAGAGGACCGGGUAUGAGAGAGAGAGGAAUGAGAGGGAACAGUAAUUUCCCCGCCACAGGAAGUUUGGUGUGUCCGUGGUUCCCAACGCUCAACCCCAGCAGUACAGAAGAUGAUGCAAGAAGAGAGUGAUGCA